Molecule: ribosomal RNA, 253 nt
Filed under: uncultured bacterium
Lineage: Bacteria
Description: partial 16S ribosomal RNA
Rfam family: Bacterial small subunit ribosomal RNA
Source: RNAcentral
UACGAAGGGGACUAGCGUUGUUCGGAAUUACUGGGCGUAAAGCGCACGUAGGCGGAUUUGUUAGUCAGGGGUGAAAUCCCGGGGCUCAACCUCGGAACUGCCUUUGAUACUGCAAAUCUCGAGUCCGAUAGAGGUGGGUGGAAUUCCUAGUGUAGAGGUGAAAUUCGUAGAUAUUAGGAAGAACACCGGUGGCGAAGGCGGCAUCCUGGACCGGCAUUGACGCUGAGGCGCGAAAGCCAGGGGAGCAAACGGG